Molecule: long non-coding RNA, 729 nt
Organism: Homo sapiens (human)
Lineage: Eukaryota; Metazoa; Chordata; Mammalia; Primates; Hominidae
Gene: SIGLEC10-AS1
Product: SIGLEC10 antisense RNA 1
Source: Ensembl
GAGAGGUCCAGGGCUCGCUGCUGGGAGCCAAGCCUGUUCUCCGCUCGGCAGGUGUAGCGCCCUGAAUCCCCAGCCUUCACCCCGGGCAGCUCCAGCCCCAGGGGUCUAGGGCCCCAGGGAUGGGACGAGGAGAGGACUCUGUUCUGCAGGACCCAGCUCAGUGUGGCAGGGGGCUGGCUGUCAGCAGCACAGAGGAGCCGCAGGAACUGGCCUUUUUGGGCUUCCAGGGCUGCGGCGGCAUCCUGGGACCCCACAGCUUCCUCUCCCUGGAUGCUCCUGAGCUGGGAGCCGCUCACUGUCCCACUGGGCUCCUCCACCUCCCCACCCACCGGGGCUGUCUGCACACCCCACCCUCCCAGGCCACACUCACAGGCCACACGGAGUCGGACGGUCCUCUGUGCGCUCACACCCUUUCUGGAGAAGUCCACAUGGCAGCUUCCUCUCUCCACCCGAAAGAAGUACUGUGACUCAUCCUGCAUCUGCGCGUCUCUGAUCACCAAGGAGCAGUUCCCCUUGGCGGGAUCCCCAGUGAGCUGGAAUCGGCCCCGGGUGCUCAUUUCCACCUCUCGACUCUGGUGGUUUGUGGCCACAGGAGCACCCUUGGUUGUCUCAGUCACUGCUUUGAACCAGUAGCCAUAAGCUGGGGUAGACCCUGUCCAGUCCUGUCGGGGGUAGGAGAAAGAGCAGGGCACAGAGAUGCACAGGCCCUCCGGCACCAUCACUGACUCC